This 505-nucleotide ribosomal RNA is filed under the name uncultured bacterium. RNAcentral describes it as "partial 16S ribosomal RNA". It matches the Rfam family "Bacterial small subunit ribosomal RNA", at positions 28 to 507 of the family's 1533-position model. The record is from RNAcentral.
GACGAACGCUGGCGGCGUGCCUAAUACAUGCAAGUAGAACGCACAGUUUAUACCGUAGCUUGCUACACCAUAGACUGUGAGUUGCGAACGGGUGAGUAACGCGUAGGUAACCUGCCUGGUAGCGGGGGAUAACUAUUGGAAACGAUAGCUAAUACCGCAUAAUAUUGAUUAUUGCAUGAUAAUUGAUUGAAAGAUGCUAUUGCAUCACUACCAGAUGGACCUGCGUUGUAUUAGCUAGUAGGUGAGGUAACGGCUCACCUAGGCGACGAUACAUAGCCGACCUGAGAGGGUGAUCGGCCACACUGGGACUGAGACACGGCCCAGACUCCUACGGGAGGCAGCAGUAGGGAAUCUUCGGCAAUGGACGAAAGUCUGACCGAGCAACGCCGCGUGAGGGAAGAAGGUUUUCGGAUCGUAAAGCUCUGUUGUAAGAGAAGAACGGGUGUGAGAGUGGAAAGUUCACACUGUGACGGUAUCUUACCAGAAAGGGACGGCUAACUACGUG